AUUGAACGCUGGCGGCAUGCCUUACACAUGCAAGUCGAACGGUAACAGGUCUUCGGAUGCUGACUAGUGGCGAACGGGUGAGUAAUACAUCGGAACGUGGCUAGUAGUGGUGGAUAACUACUCGAAAGAGUGGCUAAUACCGCACGGGAUCUACGGAUUAAAGCAGGGGAUCGCGAGACCUUGGGCUACUAGAGCGGCCGAUGGCAGAUUAGGUAGUUGGUGGGAUAAAAGCUUACCAAGCCGACGAUAUCUAGCUGGUCUGAGAGGACGAUCAGCCACACUGGGACUGAGACACGGCCCAGACUCCUACGGGAGGCAGCAGUGGGGAAUUUUGGACAAUGGGCGAAAGCCUGAUCCAGCAAUGCCGCGCGCAGGACGAAGGCCUUCGGGUUGUAAACUGCUUUUGUACGGAACGAAAAGCCCUGGGUUAAUACCCUGGGGUCAUGACGGUGCCGCAAGAAUAAGCACCGGCUAACUACGUGCCAGCCGCCGCCGUAA
RNAcentral lists this ribosomal RNA (498 nucleotides) under uncultured bacterium. Its description in RNAcentral is "partial 16S ribosomal RNA". It matches the Rfam family "Bacterial small subunit ribosomal RNA", at positions 30 to 523 of the family's 1533-position model. The record is from RNAcentral.